RNAcentral lists this unclassified non-coding RNA (289 nucleotides) under Hevea brasiliensis (rubber tree). The record is from RNAcentral. Lineage: Eukaryota; Viridiplantae; Streptophyta; Magnoliopsida; Malpighiales; Euphorbiaceae.
CGUUGGAUGAACCGUCACCGAAGUUGAUCGUCGCCGUGCCGGUCGGAGCCGGCACUCCCGACGCGCCAGGGACCGUCACUGAGAAUGUUGACGCCUGGCCCACGACAGCGGGCGACGGCGUGAUGUUCAGACCAGGCGAACUGGUGACCUUGUUGACGGUCUGCGUCAUGCUGGCCGAGCUUGCGACAUAGUUGGUGCUGUCGCCGCUAUAGUUCGCGGUCACGGUCUUGUUGCCCGCUGUCGCAUAGGUAUGACUGAUGGAUGCCGUACCGCCGCUGAGCGUGACGGG